CCAUAGGUUGCAUUAUAGUUCUUAUUCUUCCCAGUUUGAGUGUUUUCAUUUCAUUUCCUCAUAGUUUGAUGGCUGCUCCAAUUUCAGCCUCACUCUAUCUUAGCUGUCACUGCACACAAGCUCAUCAACAAUAUUACCCUCCAACUCGACCACCUCGCACGACAGGUGUCUGCAAUUGACAAGUCCAUUUCGAAUGGGGACACAGUACCUGAAAUUCAGAUUUCGACACUAAUUGAGAUGCUUAUGGGACAAGCAAUCAAGUUAAAAAGCAUUUCUACAGAAGGAGAUGUUUCUGCACAAAAAAGUGUUCAGGAAAAGAAAGUGCAGAAAUGUGUUGAAACAUUACAUUGGAUGCACUUAAGAUAUCUAAUGCAAGAAUAAAGCAUGUUGUUGUUACAACCAACUGGGAGACCUUUGAUCAUCCUCCUUCGUCGACUAAGUCUCAGUGGGAAAUAUUUGAUUGACUCUGCUUCUUUUUAUGUUAUUUUUAUUCCAACUCUUCUUUUUAUUUUAUUUUUAUUGAAAGUGUAAUCCAGUGCCUUAUAUUUCUUAUUCAACUUAUGAUC
Molecule: long non-coding RNA, 566 nt
Organism: Arachis duranensis
Lineage: Eukaryota; Viridiplantae; Streptophyta; Magnoliopsida; Fabales; Fabaceae
Exons: 3
Source: RefSeq, a predicted model, not a curated record